This 482-nucleotide ribosomal RNA is filed under the name uncultured bacterium. RNAcentral describes it as "partial 16S ribosomal RNA". It matches the Rfam family "Bacterial small subunit ribosomal RNA", at positions 30 to 507 of the family's 1533-position model. The record is from RNAcentral.
AUUGAACGCUGGCGGCAUGCCUUACACAUGCAAGUCGAACGGUAACAGGUCUUCGGAUGCUGACGAGUGGCGAACGGGUGCGUAAUACAUCGGAACGUGCCCAGACGUGGGGGAUAACGAGGCGAAAGCUUUGCUAAUACCGCAUACGAUCUAAGGAUGAAAGCAGGGGACCGCAAGGCCUUGUUCGUUUGGAGCGGCCGAUGGCAGAUUAGGUAGUUGGUGGGAUAAAAGCUUACCAAGCCGACGAUCUGUAGCUGGUCUGAGAGGACGACCAGCCACACUGGGACUGAGACACGGCCCAGACUCCUACGGGAGGCAGCAGUGGGGAAUUUUGGACAAUGGGCGAAAGCCUGAUCCAGCAAUGCCGCGUGCAGGAUGAAGGCCUUCGGGUUGUAAACUGCUUUUGUACGGAACGAAAAGGCUCUGGCUAAUACCUGGGGCACAUGACGGUACCGUAAGAAUAAGCACCGGCUAACUACGUG